CACGGCCAGUCGCGCCCCUUCUUGGAGACCUCCAGGUUGUGCGGAACAGGAGGCCAGCGCCCAGCGCAGGAGGCAGAGCUGGCAGGCCACGCGCCUAAGCGCAGGCACCUCCUCCUCCCUCCUUCCCACCCUGAAAGGGAGUGGCAGGUGAUGAGGGGCUGUCAGCCAGCUUCCCUGCCCCCUCUCGCCCUGUUCUCAGGGCUCCCAGCCCGGGUGCAUGGACCAGGAAGGCAUCACUAAGGAUUCUUGCAACUAUGUAAUGUUAGUUGUUGGUGGUCAACAUGGUACCAACAGUGCACCUUUGGAUGAAGGUAGACUCAAGUUUGAGGUCUUUACUUGCAGCCGUGCCCUUAAAGCAGGAGCUGAAGUUGGCCCUGUAGGAGUGGACGUGAGCCUUUCUUCCAGGGGUUCAGAGAACAGGCUGGAGAAUGGAGAGGUGCCGGCUGCCAGGUGGCUGCUGGACUCAGCCCUAACCUCCUGGAGCUCCUCCAAGGAGUUUACCCUCCAAGGUCAAAACGACUGCUUUCCUGGAGCCCCUGCUGGCAUUCUGGGUUCAAGAACCCAGGCGGGAAAUGAACUGAUUGAAAGAGAAGGAUGGAUCUCUGUGAGCAAAGGUGAGACAAAGGAGCACCUUUGUGCAACUAUAGAAGUCAAGGGCAGAAAAAUGAGCUAGGAUCUGGGGCUUCCCAUGCGGGACUUCUCAGGAACAGUACAACGUCAGGAAAUGUACAACCUCAGGAAGUGUACAACCUCAGGAAGAGUUCAACUUCAGGACGUGUACAACCUCAGGAAGAGUAAAACCUCAGGAAGAGUACCACCUCAGGAACAGUACAAUCUCAGCAAUGGUACAACCUCAGGAAGAGUAUAGCCUCAGGAAGUAUACAACCUCAGCAACAGUAUAACCUCAGGAAGUGUACAACCUCAGGAAGGGUACAACCUCAGGAAGGGUACAACCUCAGGAAGUAUAUAACCUCAGGAAGGGUACAACCUCAGGAAGUGUACAACCUCAGGAACAGUACAACCUCAGGAACAGUGCAACCUCAGGAAGUGUACAACCUCUGGGAGGGGCCAGUCAUAGUUAGAGCUUCUCCCAUUGGCUGCCAUCCCCCGAAGCUGCUCACCCUUAGAGAAGUCUGAUGCUAUGGAAGCAAAGGCAGUGUGUAGAAAGAGAAUGGACCACCCAUCACCCUCCCCAGUGUGCAGAGACAGUCACAGCUGUCCAGGAUUUGGAUCCAGCAGAGGCGUGAGUCAUGCACAGCAAAGCAGGUAGCAGACCCCAGCCCAAGUCUUCUCUUUCAACUUAUCCCAGGAAGCUACCCUUCAGAACAGGAAAGCUGACCCUCAUGCUCAUGAAAUAGAAUCGUGGGGGCUGCAGCCUCACCCCAUCCUGCAGUGGAACUGGCCACGUUUUCUUCUGACAUAGCACUGCUCUUGGAAAGAAAUUUUCCAGUAGUUGGAACAGGGUGAUCGGUCAUAGAGGUCAUUAUAUUAUUGUCUCUGAUUGUGCACGUUUGAAAUUUUCGAUAAUAAACAUGUUUAAAUAAGUGCUUGCAUUGCACUGGAAUGCACAACACAGACUGGCCGCACGCGCUUCCACACUGCAAAUUAUUUCUAUUCAUAUUCCACAUACUUGCUAAGAAUCAUUUCCAAGGAUUUCUUGGCAGAUGACCUGCUGUUAUUUAAAUACUGCUAACGAUGAGAAGUGUCCUGAUUCUGAAGCUGUCAGAGCUGGAUGAAUGUGCUCGUGAGACAACAGUGCUGACUCUGUCCCAAAUACAACCCCUUCUAACUUCAAAUGAGAAGCAGACGGCUCCUCCACCGAGAAAGUGGAUUUAUCCUUUCUAUUUUAUUCAGUGCAUUUUCACAUCAUCCCAAAUAACUGGUGAAGUUUGCUAUUCUGUGUCAGACCAAUAGAUGCUGCAGAAUCUACUGGAGAGAUGCUAAGGGCUAUGUUUCCAUUCUCUGGGUUAAAAAGAUGUGAGCAAAAUAUUUAAGUAAAAUCAAGAUACCUACAGGCAAAAGCUGACAAAGUGUAGCCCACUGUACUACAUAAUAGAUGGAGAUUUUUUUUAAUAUCACAGCACUCUCUGUGUUCACCUACCUGUCAGCUCCACAUCAUUUGUUAUUAAUUUAACACCGGGCGCCUGCAGAGAGCUGCAAGCUAGUGCGAGCUCACAAAUCAGGGGCAAAGACAGCAACGCCUCCUUGGAGAUUCUUGUUCACAAACUUCAAGGGAAUUUGAAAAAUGCCCCUCAAUUUGGAGGAUGCUGGAGAUGCAGUCGAAUAACGCCUAGAAAGGCGGGUGUCGCUUCCCUCAUCUAAAUGCAGAACUGAGAACAAGCUGUGGGCAGCUGGUCACCUCUGGAAUUCCAAGAAGCCCAGGGCAGCACUGGACUCUCUGAUUUCCUGUAGCGUCUCCUCCCUAAUUACUUGACCCCAUUCCCAUGGGCUGGAAGACAGAGGCAUCCAUAGUCCACCACAGGGCGGAAAAGCUGGAGGGGAAGAUGUCUCUAGUCCCUGGAUCAGCCUCUAAGAAUCAGCCUGGCCUCCGGCUGGAGAGACCCAGAGCACGUCCACUGUCUCAGCCACAGUCCAGGGGCGGUGAGGCGUCUCCACGGCAGCUUGCUCCGAAGGCCACUCCACCCGCAGCAGCAGCUUAAAGCAAAGGAACGCUUUUGUGUUCUGCAUGUUAAUUGUUUUAACCCAUUGACCUAGUUUUCAACACCUUUGUGCAUCUUGGCAUGUUCAUUUCUUCAUUCAACAAGCGACUUUGUCCAGGGCCCUCUGCCCCGAGUCCUGGCCGCCCCCAGCCCCGAGCCUUGUGCCGCAGCUGACAGUCCGUUGGUCAGCAGGACGAUCUGUGCACCGAGCCACCUGGGGCAGGAGGCAGGGACAGGCAUGGAAGCAGUUUCCCUGCAGGGAGCACAGCUCCUGCGGGGAGCAUUCCCUCGGGGCCGCGCGUGUCCCGAGAGGACAGGGCCAAGGGUGAGGGCUUUCCUCCUGGAGAGGACACCGGGCAGAGGCCCAGAGGUGGUUCCAGGUUCCUCGUUCCUGCCUGCUCAGGCUGGGUCCUCUGCAGAGAAACUGCGUCGUCGACUACAAACCUCAAAGGGAAAGUGAGAGCAGGUUUUUCUCUUCUCCGUCGCGCCAUCCAGCCUCUGCGAGUGGAGGUUUACAGCCCCGACAGGCCUCCAGCGCAGAGGGAGAGCAGUGACACAUGCCCGCGCCAGGCGUCUGCGGCUCCUUCCAACAGAGGCCAGCGUGAC
Molecule: long non-coding RNA, 3266 nt
Organism: Talpa occidentalis (Iberian mole)
Lineage: Eukaryota; Metazoa; Chordata; Mammalia; Eulipotyphla; Talpidae
Exons: 3
Source: RefSeq, a predicted model, not a curated record